GGCGAUCCGAUACCAUUUAGUAAAACAGCUAUAACUCCCUCAUCCGAUGUCGGAUCUCAAUGAAAUUGGUAUCGAUGGAAAGAUUAUUCAAUACUCUACAUGAAAAAAAGUAGAAAUUAGAGAAAUACAAUAUGUUUUAAAAAUCAAUCACUAUGGAAGUCAUAUAUAUCCACCCAAAAGAUGAAUUUAGGCUUAGGAAAUGAUCGGGGUAUUACAAAGGAUAACAAAAUAAUUUAUGCAUUUUUCUAAAUUAUGAAUUUGACACGUCAAUAAUUUGUUUGAUGCAAGAAAAAAUGUGUGAGAAAUACUAACAUUUAAAAUUAAUAAUUUUGCUAAAAUAACAGCCUAAAAGGAGCAUCGGGUGGUCAAAAUUGGGUGUCAACAUCCUUAAGGGUGCACCAUGAGUUAUGGGAACUGAGCAUUCUGUAAAGCAUGAGUACAUGAGUCAUGAGCUGCAUGACCUAGGUUUGGAGUUAAUAACUUCAUGGAAUGUGAGAAUACUUCUGAGUGACUGGGAACUUCUUACACUAGGAACUGGGAGCGUACAUGAUUCUCUAUGUAGUGCAUGAACAUGAUUUAUGAUCAUGAAGCUGACGUGUAAGGUUUGAAUAGAUGUCGUGAUGACUGAAGUACAAAUUUUUUUACACUGAGGUAAGAAUGGGUCGGGCAUCUUCCUUCCCUAAUGUUGUUCUACAACACACCGAAAUCACUAUUAGAAUCUUAAUACUUGACUUAGUUUCUUGUUCUAUCAUCUUCACCUUGGAUUUAAGUUAUCAUUCUAAGUCUGUGGGCCUCUGUACUAAACUCUAAACUGAACUACGAUCACACUACUGUUGAGCUUAUGACAUAAUCAAUACAUACAAAUACUAAACUUUUCUUGAAAGACUAUACCUGAAAGUGUAAAACCCACUGCUAAUACUUCCUUUUGAGAUAGAACUCUUAACUUUCUAUAGCACCAACAGUCAUUAUAUAACAACUUAAGUACCUACUAACUUAGAAUCUUAGGGAGUACCACCAUACCCUGAGUUCACAUCAACUAGAAUUUCAAAACUCUUCUUUCUAUUAGCUCAAUCACCCAAGAUUCUAACAUCUAACAUGGAUAUCCACAGAACUUCCCAUACACUAAUACCCACUUAUUACAUUAAAGAGGAAUCAUGAAACAGUAACCAACAUAAAAUUUUAUGAACAUACUCAACCUUACAAGCUUUUCUAUCAUUAGGGUCACUUCCUAAUAUCUAUACCAACUAUAUCUAUAACAUACUCUAAGUCUCACUUAACAUGAGAAAUCUCUCUUAAAGUGGUAUUAAAUAAACUACAUAAUAUCUUUCUGGAUCCAUGAAUACAUAAUCUACUAAAAUCAAAUAAAUACUAUCCCACUUUACUAAUGUUAAACUUAUGGGUUUAUGCUUCUAACUUUAAGUCAUAUACUGUCAUAGGAUUCUAAAAAGGGAUCUGAGGGCAUAUCUGACUUUGGCUCAAUGCACAAUUUUCAUAAAUAAGAAUGAUCACUUUUAAAGUCUAGAAAUUAAGAGCACUGAUGGGAUCCUUUUAAUCCUGAAUGCAAUCUCAUAACUAUCUGUGGGGUAUGAGAAAACUCUAUCUAUAUGAAUUUAAGCUUGACUAUUUCUGUUACCUAAAAAAAAAGGUAGAGUUGACAUAAACGGAUUAACGUAAGAAUCUGCACAAGUUUCUUAGAGAACAUCUCUACUACACGAUCUGAGAUACGAAAAAAAAAAUUUCUUAAGUUCCUUGUGGCCUCUUGAAGAAAAGUAUAGAUAUAUCCAUACCAUUCCUCAAGAAUCUACUAGAUACGACUUCAUAGAUACCCUAGGACACUUGAACAUUAUGCUCUCAUACCAAGUUUGUCAUGAUCGAGACUAUCCCUUACUCGUAAUAUGGUGCUUAGAACCACAAGUGAUCCCAAGCUAAUUCAUGUAUUGGCAUAUUAUUGAGAAAUUGAUUUAAAAUGUGUAUACAAGCUAAAUUUGCUGAGCGGAAGCAUAAUCAUGAUAAAAAUCUGAAUGAAUGAAUUACUGAUCAAGUUUACAACAUGAUAAAAUUGAAAAAAAAACUUGAAAUUUCAUGAAUAACUCUGACUGACUAUCUUUGAAUCCUCUACUAUAAUGAUAAUAAGCUGUUGGGACAUGCCUCCAGCUACUACUAACCAAUACAUAUGGAUAAUCAAAAUACAACAUAUGAACUGCAAUGGACUAAAGUCCCCAAAAUAAGAGAACUCAUCACCUGCUGGUUGAAUACUGAGAACUGUCCGACCCUAGUGUGUGGAUUACAUCUGGUACCUAUAUUAUAAAAAAAUAUAGCCAUAUAUGAUCAGUAAUUUGGAAUGUAUUAAGUAUAUGGGGACAUGCACUAAUCAUGAAAAUAUUUAAAAUAUGCUUUAAAACUGAGGAUAUAAGUUAUUUUUUGAAACAUACAUUUAAAAUAUAGCUAUAUGUGGAAACUGUAAGUCAUAGUAAGAUUUAUAAAUGUAAUACCCCACGAUUUUCCUAGCUUAAAUUCAUCCCUAGAGUGUUAAGGGAUAGCUUCCAAAACAAAUACCAUUUAUUGGUGUGGAAUUCCUUAUAUUUGGACUUUCCCUUGAGUAGAAAAUUGAAUUAGCUUUCCUUAUAUUCAGGCUUAACAUGGAUUAAACGCUAUAGUUUUGGGAUUAAAAGAGUGGAGAAAAACCAAAAAACCCUUAGAAACCUUUUGGAAAUUGUUUGGAAGCCGUCCCGAUGACUUAGGUAACGACUCGUAAGGUCAGGCGACGAGUUGUGACUUGGUCAUCAUCAAAAACCCUAUUUCAGCCUCUAUCACCUUGUUUAUGACUCCUUCCCCAGGACCAGUAAGGAGACAUUAUGAGUCGUAAUCUGGGCAGCUUUGAUAAUGCUUCAGUAUUUUGGCCAUAACUUUUCACCAUGAUAUUGGAUUAAUCCGAAAUUUCUAUAAUUAGAAAGGUAAUUCAAUUAUAUGUAUGUUGGUGGGUCUUGCACUCAAAAAUUCUUUGUAUAAAGUUAUGCUCAUUUGAAAUUGACUAUAGUUAUAUACAUUCCAAGAAUUUAAUCGUUUAGGAAUGUUUUGGCUUGUUUAUAAGCUAAAAGAUAUUUGGGGUCUUAAAAUAUGUCUAAGUCAAUUGUAAAACAACCAAAAAUAUGAGGCUUAAUUCUUGGAUCCUUUACUGGUCAGGCUACGAGUCUUCAUAACAACUCAUAAUAUCUAGAUACGAGUCAUAUGCUGGACUCGUAACCACUGAGAUGGAUUAUUGGAUGAGCACUGUUGUGACUACAAUUACUCAUAAUGACUCGUAAGUUCUAAUUACAAGUCAUCACAUGAGUCGUAACUGUUGCUGCUGAUUGACACUUAAAGGAAAAAUUGUAUAACUUCUUGCCAUGAUAUCAAAUAGAGGCAAGACUUAUGGCGUUGAAAAAAUAACUUCAUGGGCUAUAUUUUGAGAGAUUUAGAACAUAAAACUUGGGGUUUUAUAAAAUUUUAAAGUUUCAUUCUUUUUUUGGAGAUUCUGGAAGGGUAGACUACCAAUUGGUGAAAUGCUAGUGAAGAUGAUAGUAGCGGCUAACAUGGAAUGUUGUUGUUGUGCAAAUAACUAUCAGGAAAUUUUUAAUCACUUAUUUGUAAGUUGUACUGGCUUUUAUAAUUUGUGGACUAUUUUUUCAAGAGAUGCAAGGAUUUAGGGACCUUUUCUUCAUAUAAGUCAUAUCCUAAAUAUAUGGUGGUAUGCAGAUGUGGGGGCUAAAGGCUAAACUAAAGCCUUUAUAUAGUGCAGUGCCAAUAUUUAUCCUUUGGUAGAUACAGAAGAGAAGAAAUAUAAUUAGGCAUGGUGGUAGAAUGUCAUAUCAUGCUAUGACUAGGAACUUCCGCCUAAAGAUAAAUCAUUAAUUCAAUUAGAGAUAAUUAACAUGCCAACGUUGGGGGUUAAAAAGUGUCAGAAUAAAGCUUUCAAAGUUCAGGUGAUAAAUCAGAGACAUUCAAUAAUUCAACAAACCAGCUACAAAAUUAAUUGCAUCACAAAGUGUUGGGACAACAUAAUUUAUCUAACAAAGAACUUAAAUUGAGUAAUCUAUUUCUGAAACUGAGAAGUGCUUAAGAUCAAGUACCUGCUAGAUCUGAAUUCUUAUGCAGUGGUAUUAGCUCUUUGGAGCUCAGCUUGCAGAGACAAAAGGUUGGUUAGGUAAGCUCCUUCGAGUAACUUUAGUACUGAAAUUAGGAAAGAUAUCAAUCUUAUUGAGGUGGUAUAAUAUGGUAAACUGAUUUUAAGCUGAAGAAGUCUUUAUUGAGUCCAAAUUCAUGGCGUUUGUGAUAAUUUUAAGAGUCUAGGUAAAUUUCACUCGAGCUCAGUUUUGAUGGAACAUCACAUUACUUCAUUAAGUUGAUAUCGUAGGAGAUGAAGAUAUAUUGGACAUGUCCAUUGGACUUCACCGUUGAAGAUGCAUUUUCUCUCUCUAGUCUCUCUAGAUUUUUUCUAAUUGAUUUUUUAUUUCUUGUCCUUUGUUAUAUUAGAAGAUUAGAAGAUUGUUAUUAUUUUUGGACUUGGGUUACUAAUGGGCCCAAGUCUUUUACUUGUAUAUAUUUUCUGUUAUUGAAUAAAGGGUAUA
Molecule: long non-coding RNA, 4607 nt
Filed under: Capsicum annuum
Lineage: Eukaryota; Viridiplantae; Streptophyta; Magnoliopsida; Solanales; Solanaceae
Description: long non-coding RNA (CANN_LNC000695)
Source: RNAcentral